Long non-coding RNA from Syzygium oleosum, 589 nucleotides. RefSeq lists it as uncharacterized. The transcript is spliced from 2 exons. The record is from RefSeq and is a predicted model, not a curated record. Lineage: Eukaryota; Viridiplantae; Streptophyta; Magnoliopsida; Myrtales; Myrtaceae.
GUAAAUAUUGAUCUCGUGGAUUACAGAAACUCAACCUACAAGGAAAGAUUUGCUAACUUGCAGAACCUAGUCCUUAUUAUGUUUGAGCAAGACACUGUGUUGAUACCAAAGGAAACAUCCUAGUUCGUAUACUAUCUAGAUGAAACUUUUGAUACUGUUUUGCCUACCCAGGAGGUAAUUACUGCAUUAACUUGAAAUGCAGUUAUCAGUGUCUUUAUCGGUGCCAUUGAAUCAUGGUAAUUUUGGGUGAUACUGAUGGUCGCUGAAAAGCAGCGAUAAAGUAUUUAUGGUGGAUGAGGGUGGAAUCUCCUUGUGGUUCAGAAAGCAUGCAUUUUGAAAGAUUCCAUUCUUUUGAGAUUAUUUCCUGUCGUCAAACCGAUUCCAUAAUUAAGAAUUUGCUUGAGGACUUGCACGCACAUAAAUAUGUUAAAAAUCAAGGGUGUAAAAUAUAUAAAAUCUCUGGUAACAUUGAUAUUGACUUGGAAUCAACUUGUUUUAUUGCACUUUGCGCAGUCAACCAAGAAAUGUAACAGAGAACAAGCUGAAACAUUUUCUAAGCCCUAGAUAUGAAUGAUUAACCAUGUUGAAA